This is a non-coding RNA of Bombyx mori (domestic silkworm), 79 nucleotides long. The record is from RefSeq and is marked provisional. Lineage: Eukaryota; Metazoa; Arthropoda; Insecta; Lepidoptera; Bombycidae.
AGUGCCGUUGAUGGCCCGAAAUUCCGAAUUUUAGCUUUAUUAAUGCUAAAUUCGGUCUUUCGGGCAUAUCAAAGGCACC